GCAGACAAGCCCGAUCCUUCCGCGCGAUCACUUGCCGAAGCCUUAGCAGCCGGAAACGGCGCGGUCCGCGCGACCGCUCGAAUGCUAGUCCGCACGCCGGGCAACGCCGUCAAAUUGCGGGAACACCCUAAAGACCUUAACACCAAGCGCCCGCCGGAAACGGCGGCGUGGCCGAGCUAGCAGCCCUGGGUAUGGUAACAGCUUGAGGUAUGAAGCCCCCCCCCUUCGGGGAGGCGGAAACGGGCGAUCC
Molecule: unclassified non-coding RNA, 250 nt
Filed under: plant metagenome
Description: partial contains small subunit ribosomal RNA, internal transcribed spacer 1, and 5.8S ribosomal RNA
Source: RNAcentral